Molecule: non-coding RNA, 54 nt
Filed under: Otolemur garnettii (small-eared galago)
Lineage: Eukaryota; Metazoa; Chordata; Mammalia; Primates; Galagidae
Source: RNAcentral
CACAGCACCCAGGACUCGGAGGCUACUGGGCCGCUGUUACCUGGGUGCUGUGAA